RNAcentral lists this ribosomal RNA (408 nucleotides) under uncultured microorganism. RNAcentral's name for it is "bacterial SSU rRNA". It matches the Rfam family "Archaeal small subunit ribosomal RNA", at positions 330 to 745 of the family's 1478-position model. The record is from RNAcentral.
GUGCACCAGUCGCGAAACUUUACAAUGUGCGAAAGCACGAUAAGGGAACUCUGAGUGCCUCCUAAGGAGGCUGUUCAGGAGUCUAAAAGCACCUGAAGGAAGGGCUGGGUAAGACCGGUGCCAGCCGCCGCGGUAACACCGGCAGCCCAAGUGGUAGCCACGUUUAUUGGGUCUAAAGCGUCCGUAGCCGGCUGGGUAAGUUCCUUGGGAAAUUUGGCUGCUUAACAGUCAAGCUUUCAGGGAAUACUGCCCGGCUUGGGACCGGGAGAGGUCAGAGGUACUCCAGGGGUAGGGGUGAAAUCCAUUAAUCCUUGGGGGACCACCGGUAGCGAAGGCGUCUGACCAGACCGGGUCCGACGGUGAGGGACGAAGGCUAGGGGCGCGAACCGGAUUAGAUACCCGCGUAGU